This 432-nucleotide ribosomal RNA is filed under the name uncultured archaeon. RNAcentral's name for it is "bacterial SSU rRNA". It matches the Rfam family "Archaeal small subunit ribosomal RNA", at positions 19 to 458 of the family's 1478-position model. The record is from RNAcentral.
GGACCCGACUGCUAUCAAAGUGGGACUAACCCAUGCGAGUCAACAUAGCAAUAUGUGGCAUACGGCUCAGUAACACGUAGUCAACAUGCCCAGGGGACGUGGAUAACCUCGGGAAACUGAGGAUAAACCGCGAUAGGUCAUCACUUCUGGAAUGGGUAAUGACUUAAACCUAUAUGGCCCCUGGAUUGGACUGCGGCCGAUCAGGCUGUUGGUGAGGUAAUGGCCCACCAAACCUGUAACCGGUACGGGCUCUGAGAGGAGGAGCCCGGAAAUGGGCACUGAAACAAGGGCCCAGGCCCUAUGGGGCGCAGCAGGCGCGAAACCUCUGCAAUAGGCGAAAGCUUGACAGGGUUACUCUGAGUGAUUUCCGUUAAGGAGAUCUUUUGGCACCUCUAAAAAUGGUGCAAAAUAAGGGGUGGGCAAGUCUGGUGU